Molecule: long non-coding RNA, 842 nt
Organism: Apus apus (common swift)
Lineage: Eukaryota; Metazoa; Chordata; Aves; Apodiformes; Apodidae
Exons: 3
Source: RefSeq, a predicted model, not a curated record
GCAAAGUAAAGAUGUCAGCAUGAAAGAAAGUGCAUGAAAGAAAAUACAAAGAUUGAUAGGACUUUUUCCAUGUAGGCACUGCACCUGUGGGCAGUGUGCUGGCUUCAACAGUUCUCCAGUUACUACAGUCCCCUGUUAGGCACUGUGUCAGACAAUGCCUUAUCCAGAAGAACUAAAAAUUGUCUUGGUUUCAAAACAAUCCUGCGGUACAGCAUGAUACAUGGUUCUUGAAAGGACAAGCUCUCUGCAAUGAAAAGCAAACAAGCUAGGCUUCAUGACCUCCAGUGUGGCUCAAAACUUCCCACUAACUCAUCUCCUGUGGCAGAAGAAAUUUUGACUGCAAUGAAAGCCUGAAUGAAUGAACACCAGAGGAUCAGAAUGAAGAAGAACACUGCUUGGGAAGAGUCUUCUUUGAUAUUUAAAACAGCAUUAACUCCUACCUUUGCUUACAGCACUCAUCACCUCUCCAUCACACCAGAUGACAAAAUAAGAAAAAAGCAUGAAUGCCACAUUUUCACCUCCAUCUUCAGCAGUUCUACCUACUCCUCUUCAGUCAAGGUUUUAAGCAGAUCUUUGGACCACAAGCUACUUGCAAGAUUCUUGCCCUCAUCUUUUGAAUGACAACAAAAUAAAAGCCAACACUGGACUGAAAGUAAAAACAAUUACAUCUAGAGGAAUAUUAACAAACUUCUCCAACUUAAUUUUUUUUUCUUGUUUGGCAUGUCUGCCCCUUUGACACCCCAGAGUAACAAAACCUGUAGAGCUUGCCUGUUCAUUUGGGAAUACAUAACAAAUUUUACUGUGGCAUCUAGAAGUCUUCUAAAUAAAUUCAGUUUAUCAAA